Molecule: ribosomal RNA, 777 nt
Filed under: uncultured Neocallimastigales
Lineage: Eukaryota; Fungi; Neocallimastigomycota; Neocallimastigomycetes; Neocallimastigales
Description: partial large subunit ribosomal RNA
Rfam family: Eukaryotic large subunit ribosomal RNA
Source: RNAcentral
GUACACGCUGUGACUAGCAUAUCAAUAAGCGGAGGAAAAGAAACUAACAAGGAUUCCCUCAGUAACGGCGAGUGAAGCGGGAAGAGCUCAAAUUUGAAAUCUUAAAGGUCUACCUUGCACGAAUUGUAGUUUAAAGAAGUGUUUUCUGCUGACGAUUCGGUAAUAUAAGUUCUUUGGAAUAGGACAUCAUAGAGGGUGAGAAUCCCGUAUUUGACCAUUAUUUUCAGCUUUGUGAUACACUUUCAAAGAGUCGGAUUGUUUGGGAAUGCAGUCCAAAAUGGGUGGUAAAUUUCAUCUAAAGCUAAAUAUUGGCGAGAGACCGAUAGCGAACAAGUACCGUGAGGGAAAGAUGAAAAGAACUUUGAAAAGAGAGUUAAACAGUACGUGAAAUUGUCAAAAGGGAAGCGUUUGACACCAGUGUUGUUUUUCUGAAAAUCAAUUAAAGAACUGUUUAUGCUAAGUUGUUUAGACUUUAUCAGCUAUCUGCUUAGUUUUGAGCUUUUCUUUAAUGCACUUUUCAGUUAACAAGUCAACAUCAAUUUCUUUUGCUGUAAAAAAGCUUGAGGAAGGUGGCUUGAGAUUCGUCUUAAGUGUUUAUAGCCUCUUGCCUAUGCAGUCGGAGAGAUUGAGGUCUGCAGCGUAGAUCCUUCGGGGCUAAAUGCAUUUGUGCUAAGUUAUAGCAUUUUAUAGACAACUUGUUGACUAUGAUUUGUCUUGUAGCUUACUCGCUUAUGUUAUUUUACCUACGCUUAGGAUGUUGAACUACUGAGACAUAGA